This 28-nucleotide non-coding RNA is filed under the name Homo sapiens (human). Lineage: Eukaryota; Metazoa; Chordata; Mammalia; Primates; Hominidae. The record is from RNAcentral.
GAGAGACAAAGUGCCCCCUGAGAGAGUA